GGCAACCAAGUGACGUCAACAACGUCGAGGAAACGUCAGUAUUUGGUGGAAUAUAUACACGUAGUUGAACAUUACGUCAUAUCGACGUCUUUUGUAGGUGAUUUUAAAUACGUAAGAUUAAUGACGUUAAAAUACGUUUAAAAGACGUUUUCAUUUCAGCCAGCCUAAGUCUGACGUCACGAAAUUGGGAGGAGCUUGGAGCUUAAAAGUUACAAAACUAGGGUUAUGUUUGUAUCAUCGUUGUCGUUUCAUUUCAUUGUUUGUUUGUCCUAGUAUUUUGCCUUUUUUGGAUUCAUUUGGAUUUUGUUGGCUGUUUUGUGUGUAUUUUUUAAAACUUCUGUUUGUCAUUUGUAAAUUUUAUAAAUUUACCACAAUGCAAAGUGAUUAUUUAAGGAAAUUAUUAAUGGAAACUCCGCAGAUGUUUUAGAAAGAUAUUCAUUGAAGCUGAAAAUAAUUGGAGAUUUAGAUCCAUAUACAAUUCAGUCAUCAGAAUUGGAUUUUACAGUGCAUUCCUUCAAUUACUGUUAUAAUGCUAUUAUAGAUAGACUGCUAGAGUCUCACAGUUACUGCUUUAAGCAGCAGAUGAAAGCAUACAAAAGCCUUCAGGCACAUAAAAGCCUUCACAACUGGAUUUGUUUUGAAACAUUGAUGUUUUGAUGAUUUCUAUAUUAUUGUUGGAAAGGUGAAAAAUUCCCAAAAAGCUAAUGCUAAACCGCUAGAUGCUUCGGUGAAUAGCCAGUUCCAAUGGCAUAGCAAAUGCACAUUGUAUGUGUAUGGCCAGUAAUAGUGAAAUUUGCAGCCAUAUUGCAGCAAUCUUAUUUGCAGCUGAGUAUGCCCACAGCAAGACAGAAGAAGAAGAACCCAAUGCAUGUACAGAUGUUACAGCUAUGUACAUUCUCUGGUGAAAAACUAAUGAGUUUUCAAGCUGUUCGGUCAGAGUGCUUGUUGCGCUCUCUAAACGAACUGAUAUAUAAGACGGCUUUGGCUUCAUGUUGCAGUGAUAUGAAAAUGGUUAGUCAUUUUUAAUUAUAAUGUACUUCUUCAUCAUGAGUAUUUAUGUAUAGGGCUUUUCAUUCACAGUCAUUUGUUUCGAGCUUCUGUCAUGUGUCACAUAAUAUUAAUAUUAUAUCUACGUCAUAUGUUAUUGGUAUAUAUCAAUGAUACACACCAAAGACAUAUGGCAUAGAUAUAUUAAUAUUAUGUGACACAUGACAGAUGCUCGAAACAAAUGACAGUCGAUAAAAAGCCCUAUUAGUCUUUUAAGUGUGUAUUAUCAGAUAUCACAUGUAAAUUGUUUUUAUCAUGUUAAUUUGGUCAUUACAGUCCCUUAAUCAAAAAAUAUAUUUUUCAGGUGUCUGUGGAUCUUUUUGUAUGCAAAAAUUUGUAAUAAUUAUUUGAAAUCAUUUUGAGGAUUAUUAGAGUAUGGAAAUAUAUGUGAGAACACAUACUAUUAUAGUUUUGUCCUAUUUUUUAUCAUUCAAUAGUCUUCUUAAAAUUUAUAAAUAUAAAGCAGAUAGUUUUCAUUGAAAUUCAAUAUAUUGGGUCUUAUUUGUAUGUAUUCAUUUUUGACUAAAGGUACGAUUCCGAUAACGACUGCAGACAGCAACUGCAAACAUCAGUUGCAGUUCUCGGCGUUAUGGAUGUUACUACUUUGCACUAUUUAUCUGUAUGAGACUUAUUCCGACAUCUGACUGCAACUGCUGUCUGGCAGAACGUCAGUUGCUAAUAAUUAUGCAAAUUAUUAGUGCAAAAUAAUGACGUCUGUCAUGGUGACAACUGUAACUGCCAUCUGCAGUCGUUGUCGGAAUCAUACCUUUAAAGUGUGUGGUAUAAUUAUAAUAAUUAUAUAUAUAUAUUAUAUAACUUAAAUGGUUUAAACCUAAGUUUGUUAUUACAUUGUGACUUAAAUGUUUAAUUUGUUAAUAAAUGAUUUAUUAGUUUA
Molecule: long non-coding RNA, 1942 nt
Organism: Diabrotica virgifera virgifera (western corn rootworm)
Lineage: Eukaryota; Metazoa; Arthropoda; Insecta; Coleoptera; Chrysomelidae
Exons: 3
Source: RefSeq, a predicted model, not a curated record